AACGAACGCUGGCGGCAUGCCUAACACAUGCAAGUCGAACGAGACCUUCGGGUCUAGUGGCGCACGGGUGCGUAACGCGUGGGAACCUGCCCUUAGGUUCGGAAUAACUCCCCGAAAGGGGUGCUAAUACCGGAUAAUGUCUUCGGACCAAAGAUUUAUCGCCUUUGGAUGGGCCCGCGUUGGAUUAGCUAGUUGGUAGGGUAAAAGCCUACCAAGGCGACGAUCCAUAGCUGGUCUGAGAGGAUGAUCAGCCACACUGGGACUGAGACACGGCCCAGACUCCUACGGGAGGCAGCAGUAGGGAAUAUUGGACAAUGGGCGAAAGCCUGAUCCAGCAAUGCCGCGUGAGUGAUGAAGGCCUUAGGGUUGUAAAGCUCUUUUACCCGGGAUGAUAAUGACAGUAUCGGGAGAAUAAGCUCCGGCUAACUCCGUG
This 433-nucleotide ribosomal RNA is filed under the name uncultured bacterium. RNAcentral's name for it is "partial 16S ribosomal RNA". It matches the Rfam family "Bacterial small subunit ribosomal RNA", at positions 29 to 507 of the family's 1533-position model. The record is from RNAcentral.